AACAGGAUUAGAUACCCUGGUAGUCCACGCUGUAAACGAUGUCGACUUGGAGGUUGUUCCCUUGAGGAGUGGCUUCCGGAGCUAACGCGUUAAGUCGACCGCCUGGGGAGUACGGCCGCAAGGUUAAAACUCAAAUGAAUUGACGGGGGCCCGCACAAGCGGUGGAGCAUGUGGUUUAAUUCGAUGCAACGCGAAGAACCUUACCUACUCUUGACGUCCAGAGAACUUAGCAGAGAUGCUUUGGUGCCUUCGGGAACUCUGAGACAGGUGCCGCAUGGCUGUCGUCAGCUCGUGUUGUGAAAUGUUGGGUUAAGUCCCGCAACGAGCGCAACCCUUAUCCUUUGUUGCCAGCGAUUCGGUCGGGAACUCAAAGGAGACUGCCAGUGAUAAACUGGAGGAAGGUGGGGAUGACGUCAAGUCAUCAUGGCCCUUACGAGUAGGGCUACACACGUGCUACAAUGGCAUAUACAAAGAGAAGCGACCUCGCGAGAGCAAGCGGACCUCAUAAAGUAUGUCGUAGUCCGGAUUGGAGUCUGCAACUCGACUCCAUGAAGUCGGAAUCGCUAGUAAUCGUGGAUCAGAAUGCCACGGUGAAUACGUUCCCGGGCCUUGUACACACCGCCCGUCACACCAUGGGAGUGGGUUGCAAAAGAAGUAGGUAGCUUAACCUUCGGGAGGGCGCUUACCACUUUGUGAUUCAUGACUGGGGUGAAGUCGUAACAAGGUAACC
Molecule: ribosomal RNA, 730 nt
Filed under: uncultured bacterium
Lineage: Bacteria
Description: bacterial SSU rRNA
Rfam family: Bacterial small subunit ribosomal RNA
Source: RNAcentral